GACGAACGCUGGCGGCGUGCCUAAUACAUGCAAGUAGAACGCACAGUUUAUACCGUAACUUGCUACACCAUAGACUGUGAGUUGCGAACGGGUGAGUAACGCGUAGGUAACCUGCCUGGUAGCGGGGGAUAACUAUUGGAAACGAUAGCUAAUACCGCAUAAUAUUAAUUAUUGCAUGAUAAUUAAUUGAAAGGUGCAAUUGCACCACUACCAGAUGGACCUGCGUUGUAUUAGCUAGUAGGUGAGGUAACGGCUCACCUAGGCGACGAUACAUAGCCGACCUGAGAGGGUGAUCGGCCACACUGGGACUGAGACACGGCCCAGACUCCUACGGGAGGCAGCAGUAGGGAAUCUUCGGCAAUGGACGAAAGUCUGACCGAGCAACGCCGCGUGAGUGAAGAAGGUUUUCGGAUCGUAAAGCUCUGUUGUAAGAGAAGAACGGGUGUGAGAGUGGAAAGUUCACACUGUGACGGUAUCUUACCAGAAAGGGACGGCUAACUACGUG
Molecule: ribosomal RNA, 505 nt
Filed under: uncultured bacterium
Lineage: Bacteria
Description: partial 16S ribosomal RNA
Rfam family: Bacterial small subunit ribosomal RNA
Source: RNAcentral